Molecule: ribosomal RNA, 433 nt
Filed under: uncultured bacterium
Lineage: Bacteria
Description: partial 16S ribosomal RNA
Rfam family: Bacterial small subunit ribosomal RNA
Source: RNAcentral
AACGAACGCUGGCGGCAUGCCUAACACAUGCAAGUCGAACGAGACCUUCGGGUCUAGUGGCGCACGGGUGCGUAACCCGUGGGAACCUGCCCUUAGGUUCGGAAUAACUCCCCGAAAGGGGUGCUAAUACCGGAUAAUGUCUUCGGACCAAAGAUUUAUCGCCUUUGGAUGGGCUCGCGUUGGAUUAGCUAGUUGGUAGGGUAAAAGCCUACCAAGGCGACGAUCCAUAGCUGGUCUGAGAGGAUGAUCAGCCACACUGGGACUGAGACACGGCCCAGACUCCUACGGGAGGCAGCAGUGGGGAAUAUUGGACAAUGGGCGAAAGCCUGAUCCAGCAAUGCCGCGUGAGUGAUGAAGGCCUUAGGGUUGUAAAGCUCUUUUACCCGGGAUGAUAAUGACAGUACCGGGAGAAUAAGCUCCGGCUAACUCCGUG